UGAAGGCCGGCAGAGGACAUCAGGCACCCAGAAAAGCAACCCAAGUCUUCGAAAGGAGCUGUGUAUCCUGAAUCCUUCAGUGAAUGCAUGAAAAUUGAUUCAACCAGACGGACACUUGGGUCACCAUUUCUCUCCCAGUUGAUUCAGAAAGCAAGCAAACAACAAACAACGCUGGCUAUGAGAUUGUUAGCAAUGAGUCCGGAAUUUCCCCUAGUGCUGGAAAACUCUGCUAGCUGAGAUUUCUCUCCCCAUCACACCCAGUUCCCUCCUCCCAAGGUACCAAUUAAACUUUUUUUAAGCCCCUGAGAUGAAGAGGAAUAUCUCUGCUGUGAGGAGUUCCUAAUUCAGUGAUGCUGCUCCUUAGAGAAUCAAGUCUGCCCAGGAACAACAUUCCCUAAACUUCUAAACUGGGCUCCUCCGAGACUGGACAUUCUCAAAAAAUGGUCCCACAUGAAUUAUCUGAGACCAUUUUGCAGAUUGUAUUUUCCUUUUAGAGAUUCACAUGUUAGGAUGUGGAAAGGCUCU
Long non-coding RNA from Bubalus bubalis (water buffalo), 525 nucleotides. RefSeq lists it as uncharacterized. The record is from RefSeq and is a predicted model, not a curated record. The transcript is spliced from 3 exons. Lineage: Eukaryota; Metazoa; Chordata; Mammalia; Artiodactyla; Bovidae.